GAUGAACGCUGGCGGCGUGCCUAAUACAUGCAAGUCGAGCGAACAGACGAGGAGCUUGCUCCUCUGACGUUAGCGGCGGACGGGUGAGUAACACGUGGAUAACCUACCUAUAAGACUGGGAUAACUUCGGGAAACCGGAGCUAAUACCGGAUAAUAUAUUGAAUCGCAUGGUUCAAUAGUGAAAGACGGUUUUGCUGUCACUUAUAGAUGGAUCCGCGCCGCAUUAGCUAGUUGGUAAGGUAACGGCUUACCAAGGCGACGAUGCGUAGCCGACCUGAGAGGGUGAUCGGCCACACUGGAACUGAGGCACGGUCCAGACUCCUACGGGAGGCAGCAGUAGGGAAUCUUCCGCAAUGGGCGAAAGCCUGACGGAGCAACGCCGCGUGAGUGAUGAAGGUCUUCGGAUCGUAAAACUCUGUUAUUAGGGAAGAACAAAUGUGUAAGUAACUAUGCACGUCUUGACGGUACCUAAUCAGAAAGCCACGGCUAACUACGUG
RNAcentral lists this ribosomal RNA (497 nucleotides) under uncultured bacterium. RNAcentral's name for it is "partial 16S ribosomal RNA". It matches the Rfam family "Bacterial small subunit ribosomal RNA", at positions 28 to 507 of the family's 1533-position model. The record is from RNAcentral.